AGUGAACGCUGGCGGUAGGCCUAACACAUGCAAGUCGAACGGCAGCACAGUAAGAGCUUGCUCUUACGGGUGGCGAGUGGCGGACGGGUGAGGAAUACAUCGGAAUCUACUUUUUCGUGGGGGAUAACGUAGGGAAGCUUACGCUAAUACCGCAUACGACCUACGGGUGAAAGCAGGGGAUCUUCGGACCUUGCGCGAUUGAAUGAGCCGAUGUCGGAUUAGCUAGUUGGCGGGGUAAAGGCCCACCAAGGCGACGAUCCGUAGCUGGUCUGAGAGGAUGAUCAGCCACACUUGAACUGAGACACGGUCCAGACUCCUACGGGAGGCAGCAGUGGGGAAUAUUGGACAAUGGGCGCAAGCCUGAUCCAGCCAUACCGCGUGGGUGAAGAAGGCCUUCGGGUUGUAAAGCCCUUUUGUUGGGAAAGAAAAGCAGCAGGUUAAUACCCCGCUGUUAUGACGGUACCCAAAGAAUAAGCACCGGCUAACUUCGUG
RNAcentral lists this ribosomal RNA (492 nucleotides) under uncultured bacterium. RNAcentral describes it as "partial 16S ribosomal RNA". It matches the Rfam family "Bacterial small subunit ribosomal RNA", at positions 29 to 507 of the family's 1533-position model. The record is from RNAcentral.